Molecule: ribosomal RNA, 253 nt
Filed under: uncultured bacterium
Lineage: Bacteria
Description: partial 16S ribosomal RNA
Rfam family: Bacterial small subunit ribosomal RNA
Source: RNAcentral
UACGGGGGGGGCAAGCGUUGUUCGGAAUUACUGGGCGUAAAGGGCUCGUAGGUGGCCAACUAAGUCAGACGUGAAAUCCCUCAGCUUAACUGGGGAACUGCGUCUGAUACUGGAUGGCUUGAGUUUGGGAGAGGGAUGCGGAAUUCCAGGUGUAGCGGUGAAAUUCGUAGAUAUCGGGAGGAACACCUGUGGCGAAGGCGGCCAUCUGGACAACUACUGACACUGAGACGCGAAAGCGUGGGUAGCAAACAGG